RNAcentral lists this ribosomal RNA (455 nucleotides) under uncultured bacterium. RNAcentral's name for it is "SSU rRNA". It matches the Rfam family "Bacterial small subunit ribosomal RNA", at positions 26 to 516 of the family's 1533-position model. The record is from RNAcentral.
AGGACGAACGCUGGCGGCGUGCCUAACACAUGCAAGUGGAGCGACGAACCAGGCUUCGGCCUGGGGCAGAGCCGCGAACGGGUGAGUAACGCGUGGGAACAUACCCUUCGGUUCGGAAUAGCUCAGGGAAACUUGGAUUAAUACCGGAUACGGACGAGAGUCGAAAGAUUUAUCGCCGAAGGAUUGGCCCGCGUUCGAUUAGCUAGUUGGUGUGGUAACGGCGCACCAAGGCGACGAUCGAUAGCUGGUCUGAGAGGAUGAUCAGCCACAUUGGGACUGAGACACGGCCCAAACUCCUACGGGAGGCAGCAGUGGGGAAUAUUGGACAAUGGGCGCAAGCCUGAUCCAGCCAUGCCGCGUGAGUGAUGACGGCCUUAGGGUUGUAAAGCUCUUUCGCUAGGGACGAUAAUGACGGUACCUAGACAAGAAGCCCGGCUAACUUCGUGCCAGCAGCC